GGCAGCACGGGCUUCGGCCUGGUGGCGAGUGGCGAACGGGUGAGUAAUAUAUCGGAACGUACCCAAGAGUGGGGGAUAACGUAGCGAAAGUUACGCUAAUACCGCAUACGAUCUAUGGAUGAAAGCAGGGGACCGCAAGGCCUUGUGCUCCUGGAGCGGCCGAUAUCUGAUUAGCUAGUUGGUGAGGUAAAGGCCCACCAAGGCGACGAUCAGUAGCUGGUCUGAGAGGACGACCAGCCACACUGGAACUGAGACACGGUCCAGACUCCUACGGGAGGCAGCAGUGGGGAAUUUUGGACAAUGGGCGCAAGCCUGAUCCAGCAAUGCCGCGUGAGUGAAGAAGGCCUUCGGGUUGUAAAGCUCUUUUGUCAGGGAAGAAACGGCUGUGGCUAAUAUCCUGGGCUAAUGACGGUACCUGAAGAAUAAGCACCGGCUAACUACGUGCCAGCAGCCGCGGUAAUACGUAGGGUGCAAGCGUUAAUCGGAAUUACUGGGCGUAAAGCGUGCGCAGGCGGUUUUGUAAGUCUGUCGUGAAAGCCCCGGGCUCAACCUGGGAAUUGCGAUGGAGACUGCAAGGCUUGAAUCUGGCAGAGGGGGGUAGAAUUCCACGUGUAGCAGUGAAAUGCGUAGAGAUGUGGAGGAACACCGAUGGCGAAGGCAGCCCCCUGGGUCAAGAUUGACGCUCAUGCACGAAAGCGUGGGGAGCAAACAGGAUUAGAUACCCUGGUAGUCCACGCCCUAAACGAUGUCUACUAGUUGUCGGG
Molecule: ribosomal RNA, 764 nt
Filed under: Massilia sp.
Lineage: Bacteria; Pseudomonadati; Pseudomonadota; Betaproteobacteria; Burkholderiales; Oxalobacteraceae
Description: bacterial SSU rRNA
Rfam family: Bacterial small subunit ribosomal RNA
Source: RNAcentral